GGGAGUAGCUCAGUUGGCUAGAGCAUCAGCCUUCCAAGCUGAGGGUCGCGAGUUCGAGCCUCGUUUCC
This 68-nucleotide transfer RNA is filed under the name Campylobacter ureolyticus. It matches the Rfam family "tRNA". From Rfam's summary of the family: Transfer RNA (tRNA) molecules are approximately 80 nucleotides in length. Their secondary structure includes four short double-helical elements and three loops (D, anti-codon, and T loops). The record is from RNAcentral. RNAcentral also lists the same sequence under 1 other name. Lineage: Bacteria; Pseudomonadati; Campylobacterota; Epsilonproteobacteria; Campylobacterales; Campylobacteraceae.